This 470-nucleotide ribosomal RNA is filed under the name uncultured Methanomicrobiales archaeon. RNAcentral's name for it is "bacterial SSU rRNA". It matches the Rfam family "Archaeal small subunit ribosomal RNA", at positions 871 to 1337 of the family's 1478-position model. The record is from RNAcentral. Lineage: Archaea; Methanobacteriati; Methanobacteriota; Methanomicrobia; Methanomicrobiales.
ACGGGGAGCACCACAACGGGUGGAGCCUGCGGUUUAAUUGGACUCAACGCCGGGAAACUCACCAGAUAAGACAGCUGAAUGAUAGUCGGGCUGAAGACUCUACUUGACUAGCUGAGAGGAGGUGCAUGGCCGUCGUCAGUUCGUACUGUGAAGCAUCCUGUUAAGUCAGGCAACGAGCGAGACCCACGCCAACAGUUGCCAGCUCGUCCUCCGGGAUGGUGGGGACACUGUUGGGACCGCCUCUGCUAAAGAGGAGGAAGGAAUGGGCAACGGUAGGUCAGCAUGCCCCGAAUUAUCUGGGCUACACGCGGGCUACAAUGGGUGGGACAAUGGGUAUCGACACCGAAAGGUGAAGGCAAUCUCUUAAACCCAUCCGUAGUUCGGAUUGUGGGCUGCAACUCGCCCACAUGAAGCUGGAAUCUGUAGUAAUCGUGUCUCAAAAUGGCACGGUGAAUAUGUCCCUGCUCCUU